AUUGAACGCUGGCGGAAUGCUUUACACAUGCAAGUCGAACGGCAGCACGGGCUUCGGUCUGGUGGCGAGUGGCGAACGGGUGAGUAAUACAUCGGAACGUGCCCAGUCGUGGGGGAUAACGUAGCGAAAGCUACGCUAAUACCGCAUACGAUCUAAGGAUGAAAGCGGGGGAUCGCAAGACCCUGCGCGAUUGGAGCGGCCGAUGGCAGAUUAGGUAGUUGGUAGGGUAAAGGACUACCAAGCCGACGAUCUGUAGCUGGUCUGAGAGGAUGAUCAGCCACACUGGGACUGAGACACGGCCCAGACUCCUACGGGAGGCAGCAGUGGGGAAUUUUGGACAAUGGGCGCAAGCCUGAUCUAGCCAUUCCGCGUGCAGGAUGAAGGCCUUCGGGUUGUAAACUGCUUUUGUACAGAACGAAAAGGCUCUGGUUAAUACCCGGGGCUCAUGACGGUACUGUAAGAAUAAGCACCGGCUAACUACGUGCCAGCAGCCGCCGUAA
This 500-nucleotide ribosomal RNA is filed under the name uncultured bacterium. RNAcentral's name for it is "partial 16S ribosomal RNA". It matches the Rfam family "Bacterial small subunit ribosomal RNA", at positions 30 to 523 of the family's 1533-position model. The record is from RNAcentral.